Molecule: ribosomal RNA, 465 nt
Filed under: uncultured bacterium
Lineage: Bacteria
Description: partial 16S ribosomal RNA
Rfam family: Bacterial small subunit ribosomal RNA
Source: RNAcentral
GACGAACGCUGGCGGCGUGCUUAACACAUGCAAGUCGAACGGAAAGGCCCUGCUUGCAGGGUACUCGAGUGGCGAACGGGUGAGUAACACGUGGGUGAUCUGCCCUGCACUUCGGGAUAAGCCUGGGAAACUGGGUCUAAUACCGGAUAGGAGCCAUUUUUAGUGUGAUGGUUGGAAAGUUUUUUCGGUGUAGGAUGAGCCCGCGGCCUAUCAGCUUGUUGGUGGGGUAAUGGCCUACCAAGGCGGCGACGGGUAGCCGGCCUGAGAGGGUGGACGGCCACAUUGGGACUGAGAUACGGCCCAGACUCCUACGGGAGGCAGCAGUGGGGAAUAUUGCACAAUGGGCGCAAGCCUGAUGCAGCGACGCCGCGGGGGGGAUGACGGCCUUCGGGUUGUAAACUCCUUUCGCUAGGGACGAAGCUUUUUGUGACGGUACCUAGAUAAGAAGCACCGGCUAACUACGUG